AAAAUGGUAAUAUCAUUUUUGUUAGUUUUACGUGAGAUCCACUUUGCACUAGUGAAGUUCAUAUUUCACUAGUUGCAUUUGGUUGUGAUAUUUCUCGACGACACCAAUGUCAUCUACUGUGAGCGCGAUAUUGAGGUGUAUAUAAAGCAGUUCAAUAUAUGUUUAAAGAGAUUUUUUAUUCUUUUGUUUAACAGGGCGGCGUGUGGCUGAACUGGAAAUGCAUAUUUUUCUGUCUCAGGUGUCACGAAGCUUCUGGAUUGAAUCCCUUAAUGAAGUAAAACCAGUGAGUACUGGUGCUCUAAAGCCUGACAAGGAAGUCAAGUUGGCAUUUGUAGAUCGCUAAGCGAUCGAGAGCACUGAGAAGACGUUGAAUGAAAAGUCAACUUCAUCAUUUUGUAUACAGUCCAACCCUUAUUAAGCGGCCACCUCUUAAACGGCCACCCCUAUUAAGCGGCCAGUAAUCAAAGUCCCGAUGAGGGCUUCUUUGUUGUUUUUACCUCUAUUAAACGGCCAACCCCUUUUAAGCGGCCGCUAUCCAUUUCGCCGAGGGUGGUCGUUUAAUAAAGGUUGAA
Long non-coding RNA from Orbicella faveolata, 572 nucleotides. Lineage: Eukaryota; Metazoa; Cnidaria; Anthozoa; Scleractinia; Merulinidae. The record is from RefSeq and is a predicted model, not a curated record.